GGGUGCGACCCUACCAGCACUGAUGCACCGGAUCCCAUCAGAACUCUGCAGUGAAGCGUGGCUGGGCGAGAGUUGUACUAGGAUGGGUGACCUCUUGGGAAGUCCUCAUGUUGAACCAC
Molecule: ribosomal RNA, 119 nt
Organism: Corchorus capsularis
Lineage: Eukaryota; Viridiplantae; Streptophyta; Magnoliopsida; Malvales; Malvaceae
Source: Rfam